Molecule: long non-coding RNA, 1277 nt
Organism: Scleropages formosus (Asian bonytongue)
Lineage: Eukaryota; Metazoa; Chordata; Actinopteri; Osteoglossiformes; Osteoglossidae
Exons: 3
Source: RefSeq, a predicted model, not a curated record
UGUUCUGAGAGUGGCGCUGACCAAGCAGCUAUUUUUGUAUUUAGUCCUAAUAAGACCAUACUGCUAUGAGCAGGAUAUCAAGUAUCACAUUUUUAUUGAGCAUAUUAACCCUCUUUAUAACAUGUGGAUCAACUUCAAAAUACUUCCUUGCCCUAUCAUAUCAUUUUAAAUUCAGACUACAUCAUUUGAUCCCUUGUUGAUCACAAAUUAAGUGCAACACUACUUGAAGAAAAGUGAUUGUGUGAUAUAUGGUAGGGAAAAAAAAACUUUUGACAAAUUACUUUUUUAGCAAGCCUAUAAUGCACUAAAGGGAGGCUGCCAUUCAUAAUACCUGAUGCCAGGUAAAUCAUUGCUGCUACAUUUACAUAGUCCUUUCUUAGUACCCCCUUCUUCUUUUUCCAACUCAUCAUUUCCAGACACCCAGAGAUAAUAUCUUUUUACCGGGGUGAGUGGGACACAUUUUUUAUGUCUAAAUAAGUGAACACCAUUAUAAGGGGAGGACGGGUGUAUUGUAGUUCUUUGCAGUGUAUCAAUUUAUAAAGGUGUUCUUUCUGUAUAUCUUUCCUUCAGUGCGGACUGCUACAAGAUAACUGUCAUUAAGUGUCAUGAAACUCAACCUGUGAGCCUCACUGGUUAAACAAGGAAGUUGUCUAUCAAUUCUGCGUCAAGCAUACUAAUAAAAUGUAACUUUCACGUACCACUCUGAAUAAUGUAAUGACACUAAGGGGGUCUGAUGUAAACCAAUGUAAACAGAUGAUGUUAGUGUCCAUUCUUGUAUAGUCUUAAUUGUCCCAUUCCUGAUGUUCUGUUUGUCGUUGGGGAAUUCUGGGGUGUCAUGGCAAACAGAGGACAUGGAGGAGGCUGGACCCAAGUGCAGGAGCAUUUAUUCAAAACGGAAGGACUAGGCUGGUUCUUGUGGUCGGAGACUGGCGAAUGGUCGGUCGAUUGGAAAACAGGCCUGGAGCGAGUAUCCAACAUCAGAGUCGAGGGACGAAGCGAGCAGUCAUGACCAGGGAGACGUGGAGCUGGGCUAGGGAGCAAAGAGAAGCAGGACAUGGGACAAGUUCCCACUCCUCACUUGGAUGCAAAGUGAUGGUCGGCGCUACAGCUGGUCACACACCAUUCAAGUUUGUAUAAUCACUUCAUAGAAGAAAUGCCCGUGAGUGGCCAAUACCUCAGAGGUCAGCAGCAUGCGGAAAGAUCUGGUCUCCACUGCUGCCUCCAUCCGCCGUCCGUACCCUCACACUGACGUCUUCUGCCUGCCUGGCCUUUCUGGG